CCUACGGGUGGCAGCAGUGGGGGAUAUUGCACAAUGGGGGAAACCCUGAUGCAGCGACGCCGCGUGUGGGAAGACGGUCCUCUGGAUUGUAAACCACUGUCCCCAGGGACGAAGCUGACGGUACCUGGGGCGGAAGCUCCGGCUAACUACGUGCCAGCAGCCGCGGUAAUCCGUAGGGAGCGAGCGUUGUCCGGAAUGACUGGGUGAAAGGGGAGCGUAGGCGGGACUGCAAGUUGGGUGUCAAAUCUACCGGCUCAACCGGUAGCCGCACUCAAAACUGCAGUUCUUGAGUGAAGUAGAGGCAGGCAGAAUGCCUAGUGUAGCGGUGAAAUGCGUAGAUAUUAGGAGGAACACCAGUGGCGAAGGCGGCCUGCUGGGCUUUUACUGACGCUGAGGCUCGAAAGUGUGGGGAGCAAACAGGAUUAGAUACCCCUGUAGUC
RNAcentral lists this ribosomal RNA (440 nucleotides) under uncultured bacterium. RNAcentral's name for it is "partial 16S ribosomal RNA". It matches the Rfam family "Bacterial small subunit ribosomal RNA", at positions 338 to 795 of the family's 1533-position model. The record is from RNAcentral.